RNAcentral lists this ribosomal RNA (497 nucleotides) under uncultured bacterium. RNAcentral's name for it is "partial 16S ribosomal RNA". It matches the Rfam family "Bacterial small subunit ribosomal RNA", at positions 28 to 507 of the family's 1533-position model. The record is from RNAcentral.
GAUGAACGCUGGCGGCGUGCCUAAUACAUGCAAGUAGAACGGUGAGGCUUGGUGCUUGCACCGAGCGGAUGAGUUGAGAACGGGUGAGUAACGCGUAGGUAACCUGCCUCUUAGCGGGGGAUAACUAGUGGAAACGAUAGAUAAUAGCGCAUAAGCGCCGGUAGCGCGUGAUGGUGAUGUGAAAGGUGCAAGUGCAUGACGGAGUGAUGGAUCUUCGUUGUAUUAGCUAGGUGGUGAGGUAACGGCUCACCAAGGGGACGUUACAUAGCCGACCUGAGAGGGUGAUCCGCCGCGCUGGGACUGUGACACGGCCCAUUCGCCUACGGGAGGCAGCCGUAGGGCAUCUUCGGCAAUGGGGGCAAACCUGACCGAGCAACGCCGCGUGAGGGAAGAAGGUUGUCGGAUCGUAAAGCUCGGUUGUAAGAGAAUAACGAGUGUGCGAGUGGAAAGUUCACACUGUGACGGUAACUGACCAGAAAGGGACGGCUAACUACGUG